Molecule: ribosomal RNA, 253 nt
Filed under: uncultured bacterium
Lineage: Bacteria
Description: partial 16S ribosomal RNA
Rfam family: Bacterial small subunit ribosomal RNA
Source: RNAcentral
UACGUAGGGGGCUAGCGUUGUCCGGAAUCAUUGGGCGUAAAGCGCGUGUAGGCGGUCCGGUAAGUCCGCUGUGAAAGUCGGGGGCUCAACCCUCGAAUGCCGGUGGAUACUGUCGGGCUAGAGUGCGGAAGAGGCGAGUGGAAUUCCUGGUGUAGCGGUGAAAUGCGCAGAUAUCAGGAGGAACACCAAUUGCGAAGGCAGCUCGCUGGGACGUUACUGACGCUGAGGCGCGAAAGCUAGGGGAGCAAACAGG